Molecule: ribosomal RNA, 492 nt
Filed under: uncultured bacterium
Lineage: Bacteria
Description: partial 16S ribosomal RNA
Rfam family: Bacterial small subunit ribosomal RNA
Source: RNAcentral
AGCGAACGCUGGCGGUAGGCCUAACACAUGCAAGUCGAACGGCAGCACAGUAAGAGCUUGCUCUUACGGGUGGCGAGUGGCGGACGUGUGAGGAAUACAUCGGAAUCUACUUUUUCGUGGGGGAUAACGUAGGGAAACUUACGCUAAUACCGCAUCCGACCUACGGGUGAAAGCAGGGGAUCUUCGCACCUUGCGCGAUUGAAUGAGCCGAUGUCGGAUUAGCUAGUUGGCGGGGUAAAGGCCCACCAAGGCGACGAUCCGUAGCUGGUCUGAGAGGAUGGUCAGCCACACUGGAGCGGAGACACGGACCAGAGUCCUACGGGAGGCAGCAGAGGGGAAUAUUAGACAAUGGGCGGGAGCCUGAUCCAGCCAGACCGCGUGUGUGAAGAAAGCGUUCGGGUUGUAAAGCCCUUUUGUGGGGAGAGAAAAGCAGCAGGUUAAUACCCCGCUGUUCUGACGGUACCCAGAGAAUAAGCACCGGCUAACUUCGUG